Molecule: ribosomal RNA, 808 nt
Filed under: Ochrosphaera neapolitana
Lineage: Eukaryota; Haptophyta; Coccolithales; Hymenomonadaceae
Description: bacterial SSU rRNA
Rfam family: Bacterial small subunit ribosomal RNA
Source: RNAcentral
UACUCCGUGCCAGCAGCCGCGGUAAUACGGGGGAUGCAAGCGUUAUCCGGAAUCAUUGGGCGUAAAGCGCCUGUAGGUUGUCUAAUAAGUCUGUUGUUAAAGACUAGGGCUUAACCCUGGGAAAGCGAUGGAAACUACUAGGCUUGAGUAUGGUAGGGGUAGAGGGAAUUUCUAGUGUAGCGGUGAAAUGCGUAGAUAUUAGAAAGAACACCGGUGGCGAAAGCGCUCUACUGGGCCAUUACUGACACUGAGAGGCGAAAGCUAGGGGAGCAAAAGGGAUUAGAUACCCCUGUAGUCCUAGCCGUAAACGAUGGAUACUAGGUGUUGUAUUAUUAUACAGUAUCGUAGCUAACGCGUUAAGUAUCCCGCCUGGGGAGUACGCUCGCAAGGGUGAAACUCAAAGGAAUUGACGGGGGCCCGCACAAGCGGUGGAGCAUGUGGUUUAAUUCGAUGCAACGCGAAGAACCUUACCAGGGCUUGACAUACUACAAAUCUUUUUGAGACGAAAGAGUGCCUUCGGGAAUGUAGAUACAGGUGGUGCAUGGCUGUCGUCAGCUCGUGUCGUGAGAUGUUGGGUUAAGUCCCGCAACGAGCGCAACCCUCGUUUUUAGUUGCCAAUUUAUUGGGAUUUCUAGAGAGACUGCCGGUGAUAAACCGGAGGAAGGUGAGGAUGACGUCAAGUCAGCAUGCCCCUUAUGCCCUGGGCCACACACGUGCUACAAUGACAAAGACAAAGAGUCGCAAAUUCGCGAGAACUAGCUAAUCUCAUAAACUUUGUCCAAGUUCGGGAUUGUAGGCUGCAACUCGC